Molecule: ribosomal RNA, 497 nt
Filed under: uncultured bacterium
Lineage: Bacteria
Description: partial 16S ribosomal RNA
Rfam family: Bacterial small subunit ribosomal RNA
Source: RNAcentral
GAUGAACGCUGGCGGCGUGCCUAAUACAUGCAAGUCGAGCGAACAGACGAGGAGCUUGCUCCUCUGACGUUAGCGGCGGACGGGUGAGUAACACGUGGAUAACCUACCUAUAAGACUGGGAUAACUUCGGGAAACCGGAGCUAAUACCGGAUAAUAUAUUGAACCGCAUGGUUCAAUAGUGAAAGACGGUUUUGCUGUCACUUAUAGAUGGAUCCGCGCCGCAUUAGCUAGUUGGUAAGGUAACGGCUUACCAAGGCGACGAUGCGUAGCCGACCUGAGAGGGGGGGCGCCCACAGGAGAGGGGGAACGGGCCCAGGACCCCGGGGGGAGGGGCCAGAAGGAUACCGCCCGAAGGGGGGGAGACCCUGGCGGAACAGGCCGGAGGGGGAUGUAAGGGUUUCGGGAGCGAAAACCUGUUUUUUGGGGGAAAAACAGUUGUGUAAGUAACUGAACCGUGCUGGAGGGUACUUAAUAAAAAAGCCACGGCAAACUACGUC